UUUUAAAUAAUUUAAAUAAAAGAAUAAUAAAUUGUAAAUUUAUAAGUAGGAGCUUCCUUUUACU
RNAcentral lists this transfer RNA (64 nucleotides) under Amaga expatria. RNAcentral's name for it is "tRNA-Tyr". Lineage: Eukaryota; Metazoa; Platyhelminthes; Tricladida; Geoplanidae. The record is from RNAcentral.